RNAcentral lists this small RNA (823 nucleotides) under Vigna angularis var. angularis. Its description in RNAcentral is "Non-protein coding transcript". Lineage: Eukaryota; Viridiplantae; Streptophyta; Magnoliopsida; Fabales; Fabaceae. The record is from RNAcentral.
CUUCAUUUCUCCUUCUCUCUAAAACUCUCAUGCCCUAAACUCUCUCUGCCUUCUCUCUAGAUGUCCAGCUCAAAGAACCGUAGGAAUUUGAUUUUUGUGUUGCCCAAGCAUCCGCAACGUAGAGAGCUCCAUUUCCACCGAUUGUUUUCUUCAUUCCGAUUGGUCCUGUUGAACUUGUUUCUGUGCGAGAGUUACUGUUUUGGGGCUUCUUCUAAAGUGUUGUGCUUAUAACCACCAAGGUAUGUUUGAUGGACGUAAUUCCAUGGACCUCACAGGGGGGUUACAUGGUGGUGCCCUAUGUUAUGGACGUAAUUCCAUGGACCUCAAAGGGAUGUUACAUGGUGGUGCCCUAUGUCAUUGAACGUAAUUCCAUGAUCCUCAAGGAGAGGAUACAUGGUGGUGCUCUGGUGGUGUGUAGAAUGAUUGCAUGGUAGCUCAUUCUUGGGGGUUUUCCUGACGCUCCAAUGGCCUUUCAUUCUCAAGUAGAGAGGAUUUAUCCAUGUGGUGAGGAGUAGCAGGAGGUCCUAGUCUUGGAGGCUUCCAGUAUGUUCCAGGGCGCGGAACGGACUAACCUCGUGAGUGUGGUAGGGUGGAACCCAUUGACAACGGCUUUGCAAAGCAGUAGAGGCCACCACGAGUGCAUAACCCGCCAUAGCUCGGUAAUCAUUCUAGUCCGGACGAGUCGGUUUAUAAAGUAACAAGUCUUGUGAUGUCAUUUUAUCAUGUUUCGAGUGACUUUUGCAUGUCGUGUGAGGUUGAAUAACAUGCUUUUUAUAUCUAGCUCACCCUUGCUUGUUUGUGUUGCUUGUGUAUGUUUCUUUUG